RNAcentral lists this ribosomal RNA (405 nucleotides) under uncultured bacterium. Its description in RNAcentral is "partial 16S ribosomal RNA". It matches the Rfam family "Bacterial small subunit ribosomal RNA", at positions 28 to 526 of the family's 1533-position model. The record is from RNAcentral.
GAUGAACGCUGGCGGCGUGCCUAAUACAUGCAAGUCGAGCGAAGCGGGCACGGGUGAGUAAUACGUAGCUAACCUCCUAUUAGACUGGGACAACUUCGGGAAACCGCAGCUAAACCCCAUACUUAUAGUUGGAUCCGCACUGCAUUAGCUAGUUGGUACGAUAACGGCUUACCAAGGCAACGAUGUAUAGCCGACCUGAGAGGGUUAUCGGCAACACGGGAACGAAGACACUGUCCAGAAUCCGACGGGAGGCAGCAGGAGGGAAUCUUCCGCAAGGGGCAGAAGCCAGACGGAUCAAAGCGGCGUGAGUGAUGAAGGUCUGCGGAUCGUAGAACACUGUUAUUAGGGGAGCGGUACCUAAUCAGAAAGCCACGGCUACCUACGUGCCAGCAGCCGCGGUAAUUC